Long non-coding RNA from Glycine soja, 767 nucleotides. RefSeq lists it as uncharacterized. The record is from RefSeq and is a predicted model, not a curated record. Lineage: Eukaryota; Viridiplantae; Streptophyta; Magnoliopsida; Fabales; Fabaceae. The transcript has 2 exons.
CAAUUUCAAGAGCUGGGAACGGGAGAUUGGAGCAAUCAGAAUUUGUGGGAAUGGGCUGAUUGGGAAGUAAUGAGAUUGAGCAAUACAUUUAAUUUCUUCCCAAUUCCGCCCAUUCCUAUGAUUUCUGAUGCUUCUUCCCUUUCCUUUUGCCUUUUGCAUGUCCCUUAUUUUCCAUUCUGUUCAAUGGUAUUGUGUAGGAAUCUUCCAAAGUAACCCAUGAAAGUGAUUAAGGGCUUCACUCAACGAUUCAUGAGGGUGUUGGUGGAAGGAUGAGAUUUCCACCUUUCCCUCAACGGUUUUGGACUUUGGGAAGUACUUCUUCAGGAACUUCUCCACCACCUCGUCCCAUGUCUGCAAACUAUUUCCCUUAAACGAGCGAAGCCAUGUUUUUGCUUCAUCGGCCAGGGAAAAACAAAAUAAGUUGAGGCGGAUGGCGUCUUCAAGCACUCCUGCUAUCUUCACCGUGUUGCAAAUGUCGAUGUAUGUGGCCAGAUGUGCGUACGGAUUUUCACUUGGAAGACCGUGAAAUAGAUUCCCUUGAAUCAACUGGAUGAGGGAAUAUGGAUAUGAGAUGUUGGCCGCUUGUACCUCUGGUCUGGUUGUGUUGGUGAAGUAUUGAAGUAUAAUAGGACUAGAGUAAUCCUCUAGCGUCAUCCUACGUGGAUGAUCUUUUGCCAUGAUGCGUCCUUCAAAGAAGGAAUGUGAUGUGUUCACAAAAGAAACAACCACCGUGCACGUUAUCAUAGAAAUAAAAUUAAACUUAAAUA